AUUGAACGCUGGCGGCAGGCCUAAUACAUGCAAGUCGAGCGGAGCGGCGGACGGGUGAGUAAUGACUACGAAUCUGCCCGGUCGUGGGGGCUAACGUACGGACACGGGCCCUAAUACCGUAUAGUAUCUGCUGAGACUAGGUCGGAUGAGCUAGUUGGUGGGGUAAAGGCCUACCAAGGCGACGAUCCAUAACUGGUCUGAGAGGAUGAUCAGUCACACUGGAACUGAGACACGGUCCAGACUCCUACGGGAGGCAGCAGUGGGGAAUAUUGCACAAUGGGCGAAAGCCUGAUCCAGCCAUGCCGCGUGUGUGAAGAAGGUCUUCGGAUUGUAAAGCACUUUAAGUUGGGAGGCGUUACCAACAGAAUAAGCACCGGCUAACUUCGUGCCAGCAGCCGCGGUAAUUC
This 407-nucleotide ribosomal RNA is filed under the name uncultured bacterium. RNAcentral's name for it is "partial 16S ribosomal RNA". It matches the Rfam family "Bacterial small subunit ribosomal RNA", at positions 30 to 526 of the family's 1533-position model. The record is from RNAcentral.